AAUGAUGUGCCUGAUAAAAGGGUUAUUUUGAUAGAAUAAUUCAUGCAUCCUCAAAUGCUUUCAUUA
RNAcentral lists this transfer RNA (66 nucleotides) under Pseudomyrmex pallidus. RNAcentral describes it as "tRNA-Ile". The record is from RNAcentral. Lineage: Eukaryota; Metazoa; Arthropoda; Insecta; Hymenoptera; Formicidae.